UACGGAGGAUGCGAGCGUUAUCCGGAUUUAUUGGGUUUAAAGGGUGCGUAGGCGGAAUGGUAAGUCAGUGGUGAAAUCCUGCAGCUCAACUGUAGUUGUGCCAUUGAUACUGUCAUUCUUGAGUACAGAUGAGGUAGGCGGAAUGAGUAGUGUAGCGGUGAAAUGCAUAGAUAUUACUCAGAACACCAAUUGCGAAGGCAGCUUACUAAACUGACACUCAGAUGCGAAAGCGUGGGGAGCAAACAGG
This 247-nucleotide ribosomal RNA is filed under the name uncultured bacterium. RNAcentral's name for it is "partial 16S ribosomal RNA". It matches the Rfam family "Bacterial small subunit ribosomal RNA", at positions 524 to 776 of the family's 1533-position model. The record is from RNAcentral.